Molecule: long non-coding RNA, 1228 nt
Filed under: Crocodylus porosus (Australian saltwater crocodile)
Lineage: Eukaryota; Metazoa; Chordata; Crocodylia; Crocodylidae
Description: lncRNA (ENSCPRG00005008933.1)
Source: RNAcentral
UAGGAAAUAGGAUCACUGAUGCAGGAAAUCAGGAUUCUUUAGGCUAAAAAAUUGGAUCUGCCCAAAUAUAAGUAUAUCUAGAGGAUUCCUAUACCUGAUAACAACACAUCUUCAGGGGAGUUCAAAGCAGUAACCUUUUCAGUGAUAAACAACCUCUUGUCAAGAUGCAGAGUUCUCUUCAGCAUCCUCCUCAGUUGUAAGAUUUGAGAGUGAUUUAACUAUCUAGAAGUCAUCAGAUAUGAUAGAUUAGUACAAUGAUAUUAUGGCCUAACAGCUGGACUCCCUGCAUGAAACAAUUACUGCCAGCAAGAGAAAAUAUGAGCAGUUGGGUAUAAGAGUAAUGAAGACAGAAGGGAAUGUUUCCAACCCAGAGAUUGCUGAUUUUUCCAGAGUUCCAGUAUUGGCCAAUGUAUUACCAACGUGUCCCCAAAAACUUACAUUUUCAAAAUCUGUGGUUUCUUUAUCAGCAAGUAGAUGUAUUUUCUUCUACAGACUUUCUGACAUCUCCAAACCUUUGUUAGUUACAGUUCAAAAACUCUAUGUUUUUCUACUGAAUAUGAAAGAUUAUUCAAGUUUUUAAGUCCUUAUACAAUAUAGGACUCUGUUUUAGUGAUGAUGAUUAUAAAUCACAAAGGGAAAAAAGAACAACUGAUUGUAAAAGGAAUGUGACCUUUCUCAAGUUCAGGCAUUCUUUUCUUUUUGUAUAUUCUUGUGUUCAAUAUUAUCCAAUUAACUAAAAGUGUUGUUCUAAAUUUACUUGAGCCAGCUGCACACUUUUUUACUAUGACAGCAUGCUUUACAAAUUGAUCUGUCACAAAAGUCAGGGGGACUUUAUGGCAAAAUUUUAGUUCAAAGUAGUGCAGAAUACAUAGGACCCUAGUCCUCCUGCUAAGUGGUUAUGUUCUUUUUCAUUUCAAAUAAUCAAUGGACAAGGAAGGUUAGGAUAUUUUCACUGAGAACAUUUUGUUUUCCUUAUAUAGUUUUAUAACAGAAUGUCUUGCUUUUCAAAUGAUUCCUUUGGGCAUUUAAUAUAUUCUGUGCAUUUACAUUGUUGUGUUAUCCAUCUAAAGAUGUAUGUCACUUGCAUUUAGACCUUCUGGCAGAUGGAGAGCCCAGGCCCAAUGGAUGCAUCUACAUGUGCAAUUAAUGCACAGAAAGUUUACUGUGCAGGAAAAUACUAUGCAGUAAGCUUUCCCUGGGAUCGCAUAUAUGUGUGACUGGGGUCAGG